CUGGUUUUAAUAGAAUCCAUUUAUUUUGAUUUCUACCUACUUCAUCUUUCCAAAGGGCUUUCUGAAUCAGCUGUGAUAAAAAAGCAAAAAAAAAAAAAAGCAAAAAAAAAAGCUUGGAUGCAUCUAAACAUGGGAAGAUUUGCUGAGGCACAAAGGGCGUGCUGCAGAGAGGAUGGUCCUGGUCCCGUCAAGUCGAUAGGAGCAUUGCAAUCCCCAGGCAGGGGGACUGGGAACCUGUUGCUGCCUUGCAGAGAAAUAGACGCUGUUCUUCAGUCCGCUGAUAAGAACUCCUUCCCUGGGCAGCCUGAAGUAGUGUGUGGCGACCCUUCCCAUGGCAGAGUUCUUGGAAAUAGAUGAUCUUUAAGGCCCCUUCCAACCCAAGCCGUCCUAUGAUUCUGUAGGUAGCAGUACAGCACCACAUUGCUGACAGUGGGGUACAGAAGUGUGUCACACUGUAGUUGGAGCAUUUGCUUUGAGAGAAAAUAGAACUAUCUGCAUGUGCUGGUAUUCAGUUCUUGAGCAAAGGAGAGCUUUUUAUUAAUUUUUGAAAUAGAGGCAACUUAAUAAGCUUGAACAUGUUUUUUAUUAUUCAGAAUGGUUAACAUGGGAAACAUGUAUUUGUAAACAAAUAUGUUUAAACAUACACUUAAAUAUCUUUGGAUAAUUUAUUAAUGAAUUUGUUGAAGCAUAGAUAGGACUUUACUAUCUGAAAUACGACCAGCCAAGCACAGUAACCACUCUCUGAAAUCACUUUAGUAAGUCAUGAAUUAAACCUAAUACAUCUGAGGAUGUGUUAAAUCCUAUUUAUGGAAAGACACCAUGAUCUAAUAA
RNAcentral lists this long non-coding RNA (831 nucleotides) under Numida meleagris (helmeted guineafowl). Its description in RNAcentral is "lncRNA (ENSNMEG00000023120.1)". The record is from RNAcentral. Lineage: Eukaryota; Metazoa; Chordata; Aves; Galliformes; Numididae.